CCACCACCGUGUUUCUUCCUAUCACAGUCUCCAGAUCUCGGAUAACUUCUUGCUGAUUCAGCCAGUCAGAUUCUUCUAUCACGAACACCAGAGCAAACUUGGAGUCUAUUGAGUUUUAUUCGGAUGAAGAAAUCGAAGGAGAAGAGCCCUAUCAAGUCACGUCGGAUGAGGAAGACAACUAUGAAGCUAUCUUGUGGCAACGAGAUGGUAGUUCAGCUUCUGAUUCAAGGGAUGAACCAGAUCGUGAAGCACCAGACCCAGAAUCACCCGACUCAUGCAACACCAGAAAUGAUAAUCACUUCAAGAAGGGAGAAGACAUGGAGUAUGAUAGAGGAACAACGAAGGACUACCAUCAUCAAUGUCCUAAAAGGAGUAAACAGAAGUCCGCCCAUCACAUCUUGUCAUACCAAGUGCCUAAAGCCUCACGUCAAGCAAAACUGAGAGACAAGUACUUUCGCACAAAUUCACAGGUAGUACAGGAAGUGACUCAAACAUGGCACUAGCAAAGACUCAUUGCUAUCUAAUCCCAACCAGACCUACAAGACAAAUUUCAGGUUA
Camelina sativa (false flax) is the source of this 558-nucleotide non-coding RNA. NCBI's taxonomy places the organism in Eukaryota, Viridiplantae, Streptophyta, Magnoliopsida, Brassicales, Brassicaceae. The record is from RefSeq and is a predicted model, not a curated record.